GACGAACGCUGGCGGCGUGCCUAAUACAUGCAAGUCGAGCGAGCUUGCCUAGAUGAAUUUGGUGCUUGCACCAAAUGAAACUAGAUACAAGCGAGCGGCGGACGGGUGAGUAACACGUGGGUAACCUGCCCAAGAGACUGGGAUAACACCUGGAAACAGAUGCUAAUACCGGAUAACAACACUAGACGCAUGUCUAGAGUUUAAAAGAUGGUUCUGCUAUCACUCUUGGAUGGACCUGCGGUGCAUUAGCUAGUUGGUAAGGUAACGGCUUACCAAGGCAAUGAUGCAUAGCCGAGUUGAGAGACUGAUCGGCCACAUUGGGACUGAGACACGGCCCAAACUCCUACGGGAGGCAGCAGUAGGGAAUCUUCCACAAUGGACGCAAGUCUGAUGGAGCAACGCCGCGUGAGUGAAGAAGGGUUUCGGCUCGUAAAGCUCUGUUGGUAGUGAAGAAAGAUAGAGGUAGUAACUGGCCUUUAUUUGACGGUAAUUACUUAGAAAGUCACGGCUAACUACGUGCCAGCAGCCGCGGUAAUACGUAGGUGGCAAGCGUUGUCCGGAUUUAUUGGGCGUAAAGCGAGUGCAGGCGGUUCAAUAAGUCUGAUGUGAAAGCCUUCGGCUCAACCGGAGAAUUGCAUCAGAAACUGUUGAACUUGAGUGCAGAAGAGGAGAGUGGAACUCCAUGUGUAGCGGUGGAAUGCGUAGAUAUAUGGAAGAACACCAGUGGCGAAGGCGGCUCUCUGGUCUGCAACUGACGCUGAGGCUCGAAAGCAUGGGUAGCGAACAGG
This 788-nucleotide ribosomal RNA is filed under the name uncultured Lactobacillus sp. Its description in RNAcentral is "bacterial SSU rRNA". It matches the Rfam family "Bacterial small subunit ribosomal RNA", at positions 28 to 776 of the family's 1533-position model. Lineage: Bacteria; Bacillati; Bacillota; Bacilli; Lactobacillales; Lactobacillaceae. The record is from RNAcentral.